Molecule: RNA transcript, 2129 nt
Organism: Mizuhopecten yessoensis (Yesso scallop)
Lineage: Eukaryota; Metazoa; Mollusca; Bivalvia; Pectinida; Pectinidae
Gene name: kelch-like protein 6
Exons: 3
Source: RefSeq, a predicted model, not a curated record
UUAACUCGGGUAAUCUCACACGUAUCACCGCCACAGGGUAGUCCUGGGGGGCAUGUCAGACUACUUUAAUGCCAUGUUUAACUCAGGUUUCCGCGAGAGUAAUGAGAAACGUGUGUGUCUGCAGGGUGUAGACAAGCAAACAUUUGAGAUGAUCCUGUCCUUUCUGUACACUGGGGAGGAUCAUAUCAACAAUGCUAAUGUCAGUCAACUCCUGAUGGCCUCUGUUAUGCUACAGGUAACCAGUCUACAGACUAUCUGUGAGAACUUCCUGCGUCAAAACCUUAACAUUGAUAAUUGUGUAGGGGUGUGGAGGAUGGCUACUGCCUAUGGCCUCCAGCAUCUCGUCAAGACAAGCUGGACCUUCAUCAUGAAGUACUUCCCCGAGAUCUGUGGAGAGGACGAAUUUGACAUUAUGACUGCCAAGGAGCUAAUUCUGAUCAUCAAUGACAAGGAACUGUACACCUCAUCUGAAGAACUGGUAUGUGAUGCUGCUAUUAAAUGGGUGAAGGUUGACAUAGCCUCAAGGUGCAGUGACCUGAAGGAAAUAUUUGUCCAUCUCAGGCUUAGUCUGAUGGAUAUUGACUAUCUGAAGAAACUUUUAGUCAUGGAUGUUAUUAAAGAGUGCGAUUGUGUGAAGAUGGUACAGGAAGUUUUAGAUAAGUCCAAUGAGGAAGACGACAAUAGACUUGCCAGUAACUACAGGGAGGAGGAAGUUAUAUGCAUGGUGGGCACCCGAAGUCGAAAUCCUGAUCCACAGAAAACAGAGAUCCAGUGCUACAGCUAUCGUCACCGUAAGACAUUCACUCUGAGGGACCUUCCUAAGGAGACAGGUCCCUGCUUUGCUGUAUGUACGGAUGGCAAGGAUAUAUUCAUAUCUGGUGGUUACGUGGAACGAAAAAUCAUUCUCCAUUUUGUAUCUAAGGAAAACAAAUGGGUGGAAAGCAGAAUGAAUGAUGGUCGUUGGAGUCACUCAAUGGUGGCUUCUGAAGAUUUCAUUUAUCUAAUCGGUGGGAUGUCACAGACAAAUGCAACCAUGUCUUGUAUUGAAAAAUUUGACAUCAAUAAAAACUCCUGUGAAAAGGUAGGGGAACUACAGGUGCCUGUCUCAUCCAUGACUCUAGCUGUGAUGGGGAAAAUGAUCUAUACGUUUGGUGGGAAACAUAGCAACCGUCAACCAGCCACUGUGAUCCAAUGUUACAACACUUGUACUGGUUUAUGUGCAGUUGUAGGGGACUUACCCAGCUCCUGUGCUGGGAGUGUUGGACGAGCUGUGAAUUUUGAGGACAGAGUCUUUCUCAUCCUAAGGGAGGGCCAGAUAGUGGAGUUUCAAAACAACUGUGCUACACUGGUGUGUAGUAGUACCAAGUUUGACCACUUUGGUGCAGUGGAGUUUGAAGGCCGUAUCCUGAUCGUUGGAAAUUUGAGCGGAAAGUUCACAAUGUAUCUGUUUGACCCUCACACUAGUGAAGUAGCAGAGUCACAUGCUCUUUUUAAAGCUGCAAUGUGUAACUUUCAUUGUCUUAAGAUGGUUCUCAGCAAGAAAUUUCUGAUGUAGUGACUACUACUCAUACUGGGAAAUGGUACUCUUAAACUGCUCACAUAUCGUGCUCCUUAAACGGUGAAUCAACCUCCUGAUUAGUAGCCAUCAAAUUGCUCACUAAUGACUUACAUUGUAGCAGUUGCAAUUUGUUUUCACUUUUUGUUGAUUUCUGCAUACAUUGAUUAUGACAUUAUCUUUCUGUAUAGGAUAUACUGUAUGUAUGCAGGAUAGUAUAAUGCAAUCAAAGACUGAUACAGUUUUAAUUUGCAUGGGAUACGGUAUUGCUAUCCAUUUUAGACCAGCACAUUUUCUUGUGUGGUGAUAUUUUGCAAUCCUAGACCAGAACAGUUACAAUUUGGUUGAUGCACAUAAUUAUAAUUCUAUCCAUUCCAGACAAGCACAUUCCUUGUGAUGAUAAUUAUAAAAUCUGUUACAGCCCGAGACUGAGAUAACUUGAUCUUGCUCAGUUACAGGUAAUUGAUUUUUUUCUCGCACCUUUAAUUAGAAAAGAACUAUUGAAUUUUGCUAAAAACUACAAGUAUCCCGCCUUUGGUCUCAAAUGAUAAUGACCUCUUCACUACUAAAGCUA